Molecule: ribosomal RNA, 253 nt
Filed under: uncultured bacterium
Lineage: Bacteria
Description: partial 16S ribosomal RNA
Rfam family: Bacterial small subunit ribosomal RNA
Source: RNAcentral
UACGUAGGGCGCAAGCGUUGUCCGGAAUUAUUGGGCGUAAAGAGCUCGUAGGCGGCCUGUUGCGUCCGCUGUGAAAUCCCGGGGCUCAACCCUGGGCGUGCAGUGGAUACGGGCAGGCUCGAGUUCGGUAGGGGAGACUGGAAUUCCUGGUGUAGCGGUGGAAUGCGCAGAUAUCAGGAGGAACACCGGUGGCGAAGGCGGGUCUCUGGGCAGUAACUGACGCUGAGGAGCGAAAGCGUGGGGAGCGAACAGG